CUGAGAGGGUGAUCGGCCACACUGGGACUGAGACACGGCCCAGACUCCUACGGGAGGCAGCAGUAGGGAAUCUUCCGCAAUGGACGAAAGUCUGACGGAGCAACGCCGCGUGAGUGAUGAAGGCUUUCGGGUCGUAAAACUCUGUUGUUAGGGAAGAACAAGUGCUAGUUGAAUAAGCUGGCACCUUGACGGUACCUAACCAGAAAGCCACGGCUAACUACGUGCCAGCAGCCGCGGUAAUACGUAGGUGGCAAGCGUUAUCCGGAAUUAUUGGGCGUAAAGCGCGCGCAGGUGGUUUCUUAAGUCUGAUGUGAAAGCCCACGGCUCAACCGUGGAGGGUCAUUGGAAACUGGGAGACUUGAGUGCAGAAGAGGAAAGUGGAAUUCCAUGUGUAGCGGUGAAAUGCGUAGAGAUAUGGAGGAACACCAGUGGCGAAGGCGACUUUCUGGUCUGUAACUGACACUGAGGCGCGAAAGCGUGGGGAGCA
Molecule: ribosomal RNA, 487 nt
Filed under: uncultured bacterium
Lineage: Bacteria
Description: bacterial SSU rRNA
Rfam family: Bacterial small subunit ribosomal RNA
Source: RNAcentral